AAGUCGAACGCUUUGUGGUUCAACUGAUUUGAAGAGCUUGCUCAGAUAUGACGAUGGACAUUGCAAAGAGUGGCGAACGGGUGAGUAACACGUGGGAAACCUACCUCUUAGCAGGGGAUAACAUUUGGAAACAGAUGCUAAUACCGUAUAACAAUGACAACCGCAUGGUUGUUAUUUAAAAGAUGGUUCUGCUAUCACUAAGAGAUGGUCCCGCGGUGCAUUAGCUAGUUGGUAAGGUAAUGGCUUACCAAGGCGAUGAUGCAUAGCCGAGUUGAGAGACUGAUCGGCCACAAUGGGACUGAGACACGGCCCAUACUCCUACGGGAGGCAGCAGUAGGGAAUCUUCCACAAUGGGCGAAAGCCUGAUGGAGCAACGCCGCGUGUGUGAUGAAGGGUUUCGGCUCGUAAAACACUGUUGUAAGAGAAGAAUGACAUUGAGAGUAACUGUUCAAUGUGUGACGGUAUCUUACCAGAAAGGAACGGCUAAAUACGUGCCAGCAGCCGCGGUAAUACGUAUGUUCCAAGCGUUAUCCGGAUUUAUUGGGCGUAAAGCGAGCGCAGACGGUUAUUUAAGUCUGAAGUGAAAGCCCUCAGCUCAACUGAGGAAUUGCUUUGGAAACUGGAUGACUUGAGUGCAGUAGAGGAAAGUGGAACUCCAUGUGUAGCGGUGAAAUGCGUAGAUAUAUGGAAGAACACCAGUGGCGAARGCGGCUUUCUGGACUGUAACUGACGUUGAGGCUCGAAAGUGUGGGUAGCAAACAGGAUUAGAUACCCUGGUAGUCCACACCGUAAACGAUGAGUGCUAGGUGUUUGAGGGUUUCCGCCCUUAAGUGCCGCAGCUAACGCAUUAAGCACUCCGCCUGGGGAGUACGACCGCAAGGUUGAAACUCAAAGGAAUUGACGGGGACCCGCACAAGCGGUGGAGCAUGUGGUUUAAUUCGAAGCAACGCGAAGAACCUUACCAGGUCUUGACAUCCCUUGACAACUCCAGAGAUGGAGUGUUCCCUUCGGGGACAAGGUGACAGGUGGUGCAUGGUUGUCGUCAGCUCGUGUCGUGAGAUGUUGGGUUAAGUCCCGCAACGAGCGCAACCCUUAUUACUAGUUGCCAGCAUUCAGUUGGGCACUCUAGUGAGACUGCCGGUGACAAACCGGAGGAAGGUGGGGAUGACGUCAAAUCAUCAUGCCCCUUAUGACCUGGGCUACACACGUGCUACAAUGGCGUAUACAACGAGUUGCCAACCCGCGAGGGUGAGCUAAUCUCUUAAAGUACGUCUCAGUUCGGAUUGUAGGCUGCAACUCGCCUACAUGAAGUCGGAAUCGCUAGUAAUCGCGGAUCAGCACGCCGCGGUGAAUACGUUCCCGGGUCUUGUACACACCGCCCGUCACACCAUGAGAGUUUGUAACACCCAAAGCCGGUGGGGUAACCUUCGGGAGCCAGCCGUCUAAGGUGGGAC
RNAcentral lists this ribosomal RNA (1454 nucleotides) under Weissella confusa. RNAcentral describes it as "bacterial SSU rRNA". It matches the Rfam family "Bacterial small subunit ribosomal RNA". Lineage: Bacteria; Bacillati; Bacillota; Bacilli; Lactobacillales; Lactobacillaceae. The record is from RNAcentral.